This is a long non-coding RNA of Gavialis gangeticus (Gharial), 1106 nucleotides long. RefSeq lists it as uncharacterized. The record is from RefSeq and is a predicted model, not a curated record. The transcript has 2 exons. Lineage: Eukaryota; Metazoa; Chordata; Crocodylia; Gavialidae.
AAACAGUUUUAUUCCGUUUAUAAUUUAUUUUUGUUGUUAUAAAGCUACCCAGGUUGUUGGUAGAUUUCAGUAUUAAUAUCAUAAUUUCAGAAAAGGAAUUAUUGGUCAAGCCAAUUAGAUUUAAUUUCUGUAUGUGGCAAUGGCACAGGUGCCACUCCUAGCUGCCUGGCCCCAGCGUGGAUGCAGGCUGCCCUCACUGCUGCUGCACUAUCAAAAUCACCCAGCCUCUGCCAGACUGGAACUGGAUUGUUCCUGUCCUUGGCAUAUAAAGGUUGCUGGACCCAAUAUAGAAAAAAUAGCCCUAAUUCUACAUUAAAAAUUAGAGGUGAAACAUAGCAAGAUUGAAGUCAGUGGGAGUUUUAUUACUGAUUUGGGAGGAGACAGGAAUUUCAUUCUAGCUGUUUUUGCCUUUUUAUGUCUUGCAUGUGACACUUUCCAGGACUUGUGAGCUUUGGAGAGUUGAUCAUGACAAUAUCACAUAAGGCUCUACAUUUAAACUUUCACAGAGAGUUAUUUUUAUUCCUCUUUUAAUGCAACAAAACAGUUUUAAUAGGAACAUGCACUGCUUGUCCUCUGCUAAAAAUAACCAUGUCAGACAAUGACUAAUACUUUUUUUGGGACAAAAAGACAGAGCCUUUUUGGAUCAAGCAAAAGGAAUGAUUUUCUUGUUGCUCUCUCUCCAGGUCUUUGAAAGGAACUAAGGCUUUUAUUUAUAUUCAGUUAUUUUUGUAAAAAAUAAAAGAAAUAGAGAUGGAUCGAAUUUGUGCUAUGCAUAUUGAAGAAUAGCCUUCAGUAAAACAGUUGCAACAGUUUUGUAAUUAUUUCAGCAAAAACAAGGAACAAUACAGACUUUUGUGAUAUCUCUGAAUUCACUGUAUGUCUCCCCCAAAAUUGUAGGAUCUGAAUCUGAAUCCUUGCACUGUCAGAAGGUCCAAACAAAGCUCUACCAUCUCUGUUUAUACUGGAUAGUUCUUUGUAUAUGCCCUGUAUAUUGUUAGUUCCCAUAAAUGUUUCUUUUCUGAGUAAUAUUAGAUAGAGCCCGAUAUCCUACUUUAACUUUUCCUUACACUACUUAAAUUUAAACCAGGUGAAAUACCCUCAUGCUG